RNAcentral lists this long non-coding RNA (258 nucleotides) under Lathyrus oleraceus (garden pea). RNAcentral describes it as "Pisum sativum (pea) long non-coding RNA (PSAT_LNC017624)". The record is from RNAcentral. Lineage: Eukaryota; Viridiplantae; Streptophyta; Magnoliopsida; Fabales; Fabaceae.
UGGCCUUAUGCCAAUGAAUUUUCAAACUUUUUUUCUUAAAUCAAAUUUGUAAAUAAAUCUAAUCAUAUUGACCUAAAAUUUCAAAAGAAAAAAAGGACUAACACCCAUUCAAACUUUUGGCCCCUUUGUGCCUCUUCUAACUUAAAAUUUGAUUAAAAGCAAUCUACUCAUUUUGAAAUUGUUACCACGAACUACGAGGUUUUGAUCCCUCAUUUUUAUGUUAGUACGUAGGCACAAGACCGAAGGUCUUGUCAAACA